Molecule: long non-coding RNA, 2100 nt
Filed under: Erythranthe guttata (spotted monkey flower)
Lineage: Eukaryota; Viridiplantae; Streptophyta; Magnoliopsida; Lamiales; Phrymaceae
Description: long non-coding RNA (EGUT_LNC003260)
Source: RNAcentral
CAAAAACAAAAAUUCACAAUUUAAAUCUUGAUAUUAUAAAUUAAUUAAUACCCAACAAAAAAUUGGAAAAACGCAAUCAUCAAUAUCACUAUACAUCAGAAAAAACACAUAACUUAUAUAGCUUAUAUAUAACAAUAUAUUACUACGAGUUACUACACGUAACUAUAUAUGACUACAUCAUGUAUAUGACUACACAUGACUAUAUAUGACUACAUGUAUAUGACUAUACGUGACUAUAUAUGACUACAUGUAUAUGACUACACGUGACUGUAUAUGACUACAUGUAUAUGACUACACGUGACUAUAUAUGACUUGAUAACGCAAAUCUCUCCUACACUGAAACAAGUACAACCAAGUUACGAUCGGGAAAAACAUUCUGCAAUUGCAUUACCCGUGCUCUUAUUGGAAAAAAAAACUAUAAAUCAAAAAUCGUUAGAAACAUGGUAAAAAAAAUUAUUUAAACGAAACUAGAAUUCACACGAGCCUAUGGCAAAAAACUAGUAAACCUUCCCAUCAAAAGAAAUGCAAGGAGGGCUCAAGCUUGAAUACUCAUUUUAUCUGCUUCUUUCUCUCUCCGUAACACGGAUUUUUCAUCAUCAUGCACAACAAAAUUUCAUAUGUCAAAGACACUGUGUAUAACAUAUAAAUUUGAACACUGUCUCACCAAGCACAAAUAUUUUUCAUCGGCUCGAUUAGCCAAAAAGAUAGAACACAUAAGAGAAAUCACAUCCACUUGAUCCUCAGAUUUCAAACCAUUGAUUCAAAAUAUAGAUCAAAAUACACAAUAAUAUAUGCAUAUGUUCUUCAACAAAAUAACAAAUCAUCAUCAUCAUCACUCUACAUUAAAAAAAAACCACAUAAUCCAGACAUGACUAUAUGUUACUAUAUAUGACUAUCUAUAUGUUACUAUAUAUGACUAUAGUAACAUGUAGUAACAUUACUAUAUAUCUUUUCAAAAAAAAAAAAAAAAACAUUACUAUAUAUGACUAUAUAUCCUAGUGCCCUAUAGUCUGAAUGAAUUUCACUUCAUAGCAUAAUUUUCCCCAUAAUUCCUUACUGUAUAGAAGUAGCAAAAACAACAAUUCAUGUGACAAAAAAAUACGAGUUAGAGAAAAGGAACAUAAAAAUGGAAAAUGCAAUUAUGCACAUUUGAUAGUUGACUUUUAAGGACAUAAUAACCAUUAGACACUUCAGCCAAUAACAGCCAAUAAUAGAGAAAACCACAUCAUUUGCAUCUUCAAACUCCAAACCUACAUUGAGUAUCUCUAUUUUGUUUGGAAGCAAAGAAACACAAUAAGAUCGGACUUCUGAUUCCCACAUUACACUUAAAAAUGGUAUACUCAACAAAAUAAAAAAUAAAAUCCUAGAUCUAGUGUAUUUCACCAACAAUCAACCAUAAAUAAACAUGUAUGAUGCUUAUUAUAUGCACACAUAUACACGUUUUAAUGCGUGUAAUAUGUAAAUAGAGAAGAACUGUAAGAGAGUGUACCAGAGAAGGGUGAUUUAAGAUCACUGAAAUCGAUGUCGAGAAUAAAAAAAAAAAGUAUUUGAAAUCUGAUCAAUAGUUUCUCAGUAGCGGCUGCGAUUGGAGGGGUCCAAGGCGAACGGAUCCGCCGGAGGAGAACGGAUCUAUGAGGUUUGAACAUGUCCGACGCCAUUGAUACGACACCGUUCUUCAUCUUCUCCGUCGAAAUCGAAGAGCGGCGCUUGCGAAAUCAUGCGGAUUUGCGAAGGGUGGAUCGGCAGCGACGACGGCGGCUUUCCCUUCUCUAAGGUGAGAUGGUUUGCGGCGGCGACGACGUGUAUGGAGGUGGGCGGCGGUUGUGGACACGGGGUCGGAUUCAUAAGGGGGGUGUGGUCGGACAAUAUAAAGGGAUUGAUUAUUGCUUUAUGGUCCAUCAUCUUAAUCGGUGCAAUUAAGAAAAUGGAUUUAACAAAGCUAGUGCUUCUGGUGUCAGGGUAAUAAAAUUCUACCUAAUUUCUAGAUGGUGGAGCAGCUCUUGGAGGCGGAGGAGAUGUGGGUGGGGAGAAGAUUAGGUUUUAUCUGGAGAAUCAAAUGAGAGAGAUCGGGAAUGACCUUAUUUCCCACAAACUGCACAU